RNAcentral lists this non-coding RNA (1643 nucleotides) under Drosophila sechellia. RNAcentral describes it as "Eukaryotic large subunit ribosomal RNA". It matches the Rfam family "Eukaryotic large subunit ribosomal RNA", at positions 1428 to 2773 of the family's 3401-position model. Lineage: Eukaryota; Metazoa; Arthropoda; Insecta; Diptera; Drosophilidae. The record is from Rfam by way of RNAcentral.
UGGAGCUGCCAUUGGUACAGAUCUUGGUGGUAGUAGCAAAUAAUCGAAUGAGACCUUGGAGGACUGAAGUGGAGAAGGGUUUCGUGUGAACAGUGGUUGAUCACGAGUUAGUCGGUCCUAAGUUCAAGGCGAAAGCCGAAAAUUUUCAAGUAAAACAAAAAUGCCUAACUAUAUAAACAAAGCGAAUAUAAUACACUUGAAUAAUUUUGAACGAAAGGGAAUACGGUUCCAAUUCCGUAACCUGUUGAGUAUCCGUUUGUUAUUAAAUAUGGGCCUCGUGCUCAUCCUGGCAACAGGAACGACCAUAAAGAAGCCGUCGAGAGAUAUCGGAAGAGUUUUCUUUUCUGUUUUAUAGCCGUACUACCAUGGAAGUCUUUCGCAGAGAGAUAUGGUAGAUGGGCUAGAAGAGCAUGACAUAUACUGUUGUGUCGAUAUUUUCUCCUCGGACCUUGUAAAUUUAUGGUGGGGACACGCAAACUUCUCAACAGGCCGUACCAAUAUCCGCAGCUGGUCUCCAAGGUGAAGAGUCUCUAGUCGAUAGAAUAAUGUAGGUAAGGGAAGUCGGCAAAUUAGAUCCGUAACUUCAGGAUAAGGAUUGGCUCUGAAGAUUGAGAUAGUCGGGCUUGAUUGGGAAACAAUAACAUGGUUUAUGUGCUCGUUCUGGGUAAAUAGAGUUUCUAGCAUUUAUGUUAGUUACUUGUUCCCCGGAUAGUUUAGUUACGUAGCCAAUUGUGGAACUUUCUUGCUAAAAUUUUUAAGAAUACUAUUUGGGUUAAACCAAUUAGUUCUUAUCAAUUAUAACGAUUAUCAAUUAACAAUCAACUCAGAACUGGCACGGACUUGGGGAAUCCGACUGUCUAAUUAAAACAAAGCAUUGUGAUGGCCCCUAGCGGGUGUUGACACAAUGUGAUUUCUGCCCAGUGCUCUGAAUGUCAAAGUGAAGAAAUUCAAGUAAGCGCGGGUCAACGGCGGGAGUAACUAUGACUCUCUUAAGGUAGCCAAAUGCCUCGUCAUCUAAUUAGUGACGCGCAUGAAUGGAUUAACGAGAUUCCUACUGUCCCUAUCUACUAUCUAGCGAAACCACAGCCAAGGGAACGGGCUUGGAAUAAUUAGCGGGGAAAGAAGACCCUUUUGAGCUUGACUCUAAUCUGGCAGUGUAAGGAGACAUAAGAGGUGUAGAAUAAGUGGGAGAUAUUAGACCUCGGUUUGGUAUCGUCAAUGAAAUACCACUACUCUUAUUGUUUCCUUACUUACUUGAUUAAAUGGAACGUGUAUCAUUUCCUAGCCAUUAUACGGAUAUAUUUAUUAUAUCUUAUGGUAUUGGGUUUUGAUGCAAGCUUCUUGAUCAAAGUAUCACGAGUUUGUUAUAUAAUCGCAAACAAAUUCUUUAAUAAAACGAUGCAUUUAUGUAUUUUUGAUUUGAAAAUUUGGUAUAACUCCAAUUACUCAGGUAUGAUCCAAUUCAAGGACAUUGCCAGGUAGGGAGUUUGACUGGGGCGGUACAUCUCUCAAAUAAUAACGGAGGUGUCCCAAGGCCAGCUCAGUGCGGACAGAAACCACACAUAGAGCAAAAGGGCAAAUGCUGACUCCGCCUCAUCGGUGUUCAGUACACACAGGGACAGCAAAAGCUCGGCCUAUCGAUC